Molecule: long non-coding RNA, 394 nt
Filed under: Androctonus crassicauda
Lineage: Eukaryota; Metazoa; Arthropoda; Arachnida; Scorpiones; Buthidae
Source: RNAcentral
GUUGCAUUUGAUAUAAAUAUAUGCUUCCAAUGUUUCAAGUUUUAAUUUGGUUUUCUCAGUGGUCCACACAUUAAUCACUAAUGAAAAUACUCUUUCAGUGGGGGUGUUAAAAUUGGGAGAUAGAAACCAAAUUCAAACGAUUUUUAAAAUGUUUUUAAUUGCUAUGUGUUUGUUUGUGAAAUGUUUAAAAAUUCUAAUUUGGCUGUACUCAUCAUUUUGUCAGCAUUCUUCAGACUUCUCACAAGUGAUAACAGAAGCAUGACUGUUACAGAAAAUGACAGUGUCAAUUUUCUGGGGCCAUCUGUUAUGCACCAAUAUUCAAUUUAUUAUUUCAAUUCACAAAAUAAAAGACAAAAUGGCUAUUUUAGAAGGAAAAAAAAAAUCUAAAGGACAG